GGACUACACGGGUUUCUAAUCCUGUUUGCUCCCCACGCUUUCGAGCCUCAGCGUCAGUCAUGAUCCAGUAAGUCGCCUUCGCCACUGGUGUUCUUCCGAAUAUCUACGAAUUUCACCUCUACACUCGGAGUUCCACUUACCUCUAUCAUACUCUAGGCUAUCAGUUUUGAAGGCAAUUCCAAGGUUGAGCCCUGGGCUUUCACCUCCAACUUGAUAACCCGCCUACGCUCCCUUUACGCCCAGUAAUUCCGAGCAACGCUAGCCCCCUUCGUAUUACCGCGGCUGCUGGCAC
This 292-nucleotide ribosomal RNA is filed under the name uncultured bacterium. Its description in RNAcentral is "partial 16S ribosomal RNA". The record is from RNAcentral.